RNAcentral lists this long non-coding RNA (1214 nucleotides) under Neodiprion pinetum (white pine sawfly). RNAcentral describes it as "uncharacterized LOC124219477". The record is from RNAcentral. Lineage: Eukaryota; Metazoa; Arthropoda; Insecta; Hymenoptera; Diprionidae.
AUGCUGUCGUUACGGACUCAUAACGACAAGUUUCGUUAUGCUACCGACCGCGUCGCUAUUAUAACGACAAAUGCGAUUCUGUACACUAUUCUUAGCGAGUUUUGUCGUUAUUAGUAACGAAAAGUGUCGUUAUGACGUCGUUACGGUGCGAGCGGAUAGCGAGGCUCAGAGACCCCCUCGGUACGCUAUAACGACCAUUAUAACGACACUUUGCACACGAGCUAGAGGAGUGGUGUGCGUUUCACAUAUUUUUCUCGACUCCGAGAAAGUGCUUCGAAAAGUGCUCCGAAAGUGAAAAAUAAUUACGCCGUUUGAAAUAACAAGAUCAUGGUUAUCGAAUACCUUGCUUGGGAUGUAUUCGUUCUUGAGGAAAGAUUACGUCGACUCGAACGUCGUGUGGAAAGAAGGCGACUGAGAGAUGCUCAGAAUCCUUUUCAGUUACCACGAGAAGAGUUUCUCAGCCUUUUUCGCCUGUCUCAAGAAGCUGUGAUGAAUCUUGGUUAACACCUUAAGCGCAGUCAAAGCGAAAAUAUUUUUCACUGUUCAGCAAAACAGCAUAGGUGAUGCUGGAUAUCCGUUGGAGCCUUGGCUGUUAACACCUCUGGCCAAUUUUCCUGAAGAUACGCGACAACAUCAAUAUACACAACAACUAUGUAAGGCUAGAAGCGUCGUCGAGCGGUUUUCUGGAGUUUUUAAAUCUGUAUGGAGAUGCUUGUCAUACCAGCGAGUCUUGAUGUAUGAACCAGCGUUCGCAGCGAAAAUUGUUAAUGCGUGUGCAAUACUGCACAACAUGAAAGUGCAACUACGAUUAAGCAAUGAAGAUGACGAACAACUAGCUCCGAUAGCUCAUCCCGUAGAGAAUGAUGUUGAUCCGAUGGAUCAAGAUGAAGAAUACAACAGACGAGGACCACGCGCUUUGGCUCAACGAAUUCAACAACAAAUUAUGAGAGAAAGAUUUCCCAACUUCCGUGAUGCGGAAGAAUAGAAUACAGAAUAUGGAAUGAUGUUAAUGGUUAAAUUGCCAACAAGUAUACUGUUUAAAGGUGAUGAGAGAAAUUAACGACAAUAGAGUCAGGGCGGUGUUACGCUCCGACGUACCGCCUUGGCGUACCUUUUUCAAAAUUCCAUUUCAUUUCAUUUCUUUAAUUUCUUCAAUGCACAGAUAUUAUUUCAUCAAAAUCUCAUAUUCUAAUAACGGCGAGUUCCACCCCUCC